Long non-coding RNA from Oncorhynchus gorbuscha (pink salmon), 1986 nucleotides. RefSeq lists it as uncharacterized. Lineage: Eukaryota; Metazoa; Chordata; Actinopteri; Salmoniformes; Salmonidae. The transcript is spliced from 2 exons. The record is from RefSeq and is a predicted model, not a curated record.
GAGACCGAUAGAGACUGAUAGAGACAGACAGAGAGACCGAUAGAGACCGAUAGAGACUGAUAGAGACAGACAGAGAGAGACCCAGAGACCGAUAGAGACCGAUAGAGACAGACAGACAGGUCCUAGAAUUAGAUAUGGCUGGCCCAUUUCUUUUACAUCUUACAUCACUAGUUGUUGAUAUCAUGUCAAACAUGUUCAUACCCUUACAGGUUAGUGAAAUAUUAAUGGUGUCUGUUUAUUGUUGUAUGAAUGCAGGAAACAUUAUCCCUCAGGAUGGCAGGUAGCCUCGAGGUUAGAGUGUUGGGCCAGAGAUGAAAAAUCUGUCGCUGUGCCCUUGAGCAAGGUACUUUAAACCUAAUUGCUCCAGGGGCUCUGUACAAUGGUGACCCUGACCGUGACCCCACUUCCUGCAGGUGUCUCGGGGGAGUUGGGAUAUGGUGACCCUGACCGUGACCCCACUCCCUGCAGGUGUCUCGGGGGAGUUGGGAUAUGGUGACCUGACCGUGACCCCACUCCCUGCAGGUGUCUCGGGGGAGUUGGGAUAUGGUGACUCUGACCGUGACCCCACUCCCUGCAGGUGUCUCAGGGGGAGUUGGGAUAUGGUGACCCUGACCGUGACCCCACUCCCUGCAGGUGUCUCGGGGAGUUGGGAUAUGGUGACCCUGACCGUGACCCCACUCCCUGCAGGUGUCUCAGGGGGAGUUGGGAUAUGGUGACCCUGACCGUGACCCCACUCCCUGCAGGUGUCUCGGGGGAGUUGGGAUAUGGUGACCCUGACCGUGACCCCACUCCCUGCAGGUGUCUCGGGGGAGUUGGGAUAUGGUGACCCUGACCGUGACCCCACUCCCUGCAGGUGUCUCGGGGGAGUUGGGAUAUGCAAGAAAUACACUUGUGUGUGACAGGACAAAUAUAAGCCCCGCCCCACAAUCCUUUUGAAAUAUUUGUCCCAAAUGGCCCUCUAUUCCCUUUAUAGUCCAGAUGGGUCCUGGUCCAGAUGGGUUCUGGUCCGGAUGGGUUCUGGUCCGGAUGGGUCCUGGUCCAGAUGGGUCCUGGUCCAGAUGGGUUCUGCUCCAGAUGGGCCCUGGUCCAGAUGUGUUCUGGUCCAGAUGGGUCCUGGUCCAAAUGGGUUCUGGUCCAGAUGGGUCCUGGUCCAAAGCAGUGUAGUGAAUAGAGAAUAGGUGCCAUUCGGAACAUAGUUAUGAGGCUCUAGUUAGGAGCUGUUUGAAUCGUUUUUAACAGUGGAUGCUGUACAUCAGGUCUCCUAAUAUUCAUUUCAUGUGUCUCUAUGUAUUUGAGAGGAUGGACAAGUUUGCUUUUAUUUGCCAGGAAGUUGAGAUUUCAUUAAUUUGUCAGUUAAAAAAAAUAAAAAAUGUAAAUGUUGUAUUAACUUUAGAGUCUUACAGUCUCAGAUGAGGUGCAGGAAGCACCAAUGACUUCUGAAGGAAAGUGUUUGGGUUCUGUCCCGAAUGGCACCCUAUUGCCUGUGUAGUGCACUACCUUUUUAAACAGGGCCUUAUGGGGACGCAGCCGUUGACUUUGUUUCAGGGGAUGGUGUGGAAGUCUUCUAUGCCUCAGAAGAAGGUCCAAGAUCUUCACACUACAAGAUCUUCAACAGUUCAAGUCCUGAAGCAGCUGAACCACUAAUGAUGCUAAUAUGAAGAGUGUCUGGACACUACACGCUACACACACACACACACACGCAUACACUACACACUACACAUGCUACACACAUGCUACACACACUACACACGCUACACAGACACUACACACGCUACACACAUACAGCACACAGUUCACACACACACACUACUCACACACACACUACACACAUACACUACACACUACAAUUCUAGUCAGGAUACCAUAAAUAUGUUUUUUUAUCACCCAGACAGUUUGAAUUUGUCUUCUUUUUUUCCUUAUAAUUCCACCAAUCAAGUUAUUAACCAAUAUAUUAAAAGCAAAAAAAAAUAAAGAAAUAAAAAAUGA